GAAAACUCUGCAAACCACUAUGAGGUACAAACCUGGGAUAUAAAUCUGGUACAUUCCUUUUUCGCCAUCGCUAGCGUCAGAGAUGACACCUUCCCACCAACCAUCACUCCACCACGUGUCAGCUGGAUCUCCAACUCCGAAGGUUGGGCUCGGCUCGUUGCUAGGAUAGGCAGGUCUGACAGUUGGGCGGCCAGCAUGCCGCAUCCCCAGCUUAUCAGCCUUAGCCACUCUAUUUGUAGGAAUCCAUUCCUACAGUUAUCACAAUGUAAAACACACACUCAAAACAUAAUACAAGAAUGGCCAUAACCAUCCACAGAAAGUUCACACAUAUUGGUUGAUUCGUCUUGAUAUCAUGCAAAGACUUGAAAGUUUCAUUUCCUUUUCAGGACAUACUCUGACAACUAAAAGAUAUUAUGGUGAUGCAUACCUCAAGGUUGGUGCAACUAUCCUCAUCCUUAAUAUCUUCGUACAGAAUUUUUAUCUGUCUCCUCGAGAUCUCUAAGACUGUGCAUCUGAACCAGCAACCACGAAUACCACUGUCUUGACAAAGAAACUCCACCUUUUCAUUCUGUUGAAAAAGACUUUGCCGAAAUUGACCAUCGACAUGCUUGAGAAAAUUUGUCUCUCUGCUCAGCAGACCAUAUUUCUUGUAUGACAGAUCAUAUGCUGAUUUAUGAUCGUCUCUGGAACUUCUAUGCCUUUUAGAUCCCACUUUUGCAUCAUCCUCAGAGCUAAACUCGUCUUCCUCAAAAAAAUCCGGGCUAAAGCACGAGAAUAUUGCUUGAUCAUAAUAUCCCCGUAAUUUACUUAGUUUGAAUUGCUUUACUCUAUUACCCUUGAACUGUCUGAAACAGAAAUGAAGUCCACCUAACAAAUCGUGUGGAAACACUUCCAGGCAUUUCUCAUAGUGUUCACGAGUUAAUACUAUGGCCGGGCCAUCAACACAUUCAGCGCUGAUGACCUGAACAUAAGGAGUAAUAAAGACUUCUUUGGGAUCAGGAUUACGUAAAGACACUAACUCCCUUCACUUCCUUAUUAUGAUGGAACCAUCUCACUUUGACCUUUUUCUGGCACUUCCUGUCUUCAUACAUAUCCUCCAAAUAUGCAAUAUAGCGAUUCUCUUUCUCAGCCAUGACAAAGACAAAUGAUUGAACCUGAAUAGCAGGAAAAUGUAAGGCACAUAAUUGAUGGACAUGGUGGUGAAAAAUAGUUAAAGAAGAGCUACUAUGAACAUUUUGUCAUUCUACCAACAUAAUAUUCUUUCAAGAUGGAAAAAUAAGAUGCAUCUAAAUUAAAACAAAUUCUCUUGCGUCACAUAAAACGAAUUGCUUCUAGGAGAUCUCUCUCGGAAGUUAACUCAAUCAGGUGGUUUACAAACCCUCCACAGGCAAUAUAAUAUAGAUGAAUGUUUAUAGAGUCAAGCUUGAGAAACUCUAUAUAGAUGGAUUUAAAGAGACUUACAGAUAUUGAAAUCCCAUUCCUGCAAAAUUCUGGGUAAUGCUUCAAUUGUUUACCACAAGCCCAAGCUGAACCUGACCAUGAAAUGUCUAAAUGAUGGCCUUUCAAAUUCCUAGCUAUGCGACCCUGACAUAAAUUAUAGUACAAUUUGUGAAUAAAAAGACGCAGAUGAAUAGAAACACAAACAUGAUACAAUAAAAUACAUGGCGAGAAACAUGUACCUUAUGAGGUAGCAUCUGGGUCUGCUGAGCAUUUAAUUCAGCAGUAUGGUUACCUUUAGGCGACACUGCAAUCAAAAAGGGAAAAUGAAAAAUAUUAAGACUAAAAAGAAUUUCUAAAUGUAAUUUGAGUGCAUUUAGAAAAUAAACAAAGUAAUAUAGCCAUCAUUGUGGCAGUUAUUUCACCUGAAAGAUUAGGUCAACAACAUUAGUCCUUUACAACAGGAGUUAUUUUUAAAGUUGAGUUUCAGAAGUUCUACUGUUCUACAAAUACAAAAAAGUUCUCAUGGAGGGGUUCGGUACUAUCAAAGGAGACAUCAACGAAUUAACUUUCUCACCAAAAACCAGAAAGAUAAAUCAUAAACUUCACAGGAAUGAAUCAGAGAUUCUGUCCAAAAGGUUACCAACUAAAACCCAUAUAUGGCAGGACGCGGGGAAGAAAAAAUGGCACAACAUGAAGGAAUGUAGUCCACAAGUUACAACCAAGACAAGUUCCAUGGAAAAUAAUCAUAAUCUUCUAGCUUUAAGUAGUUAGUUAGUCGCACAGGAAAAGGCAAACAUGCCAUGAAAAUAUGCUAGGUCAAGUCCAAAGUAUUCUACUAGAAUUCAGCCUCUCUUUGCUAAAGAAAAUAAUUCAAGAACCAAAGUGAUACCUAUAAUCAAGAACAAGAACUAACCAAAGAAGACACAUGCCCAAGCAACAUCAACAUAAAAACCUUUCAAACAUGAAGAACCAUAAACAACAACCCAAUAAUCACAUCAUAUAAACAGAUAAGUUAAAGUCGUAGAAACGCAAAUAACAUAGGAGUGCCAAAAAGACCAGACUUAUAAGGAAACAUACUCGCACGAUCUCCUUGCCUAUGUUGUUUGGAUAACAUGGAAGUAAGCCAGUUCACCACCUCCCUCCUCGACCUCCAUCUGAACCCGGCCUGCACGGAGUUAUCGGCCCCAUGGGCGUUAAAGAACUCAUCAGAUACAACAUAGAACAUGUGCCUAACACUCCUUUCAGUGCCCACAACAGCAAGAAUUGAUUCCCCUGAAUUAUCUUUCAGAAAAUAGUGAACCACGCGGUUGCCCCUCUCUUUUGACACAUAUUGCUCCUUCCACUCCACAAAAUAUCGCUCAUUGACAGCCAUGGCUGAUAAUCAAGCAACCACUUUUCACAACUACUCCUCAGCUGCCAUCAGAAUCCAGCUCAAACCCUAAUUUGAAAAACUAAACUCUUCCCCACAACAAAAUUGUGAGAAAAACUACCUCACCGUCUCACCAUAAGAUAUAGAUUAGCUGAUAACAGACACAAUGCCGGAAAAAAUCAACAAAAGCCCCAAAUGUUAGAAAGAAAUCAAAGCCAAGGUUGACCAGCGUAGAACGCCUCAAGACCCAAAACCAGAGAUAUAAAGCUAUCUCUAAGCCACAAGACACUCAGGAAAUCUUGAAGCCAUGAAGAUCUGCUGAACCAAGUCAGAUAAAAAAGGGGUUAGUGGGUCAGAAGCCUGAGAACCCCAUAAGACAUACAGCACAUAAAUGGGAAUCUAACUAUGAGCAUGAAAUUAACUCUGGAAAGGUGGAAAUUGGGCCUUGAGCAGGAUUUUCAGUUGAAACAAACUGGAGAAGACGGAACUGCGGAAAUUGGAAAAUAAAGAAAUUAAAACUGGAGUCUUUUCGUGGUGCAGCCUUUUAACUCAAAGAGAAAAAGGUUGGCGGAGAGAAAAAUUGAUGGAAAGAGAAAGAAGAGUAGAGAAAAAAAUAGGAAAAGUAGCAGAAAUGCAAGAUAGUUAGAAGGGUGGAGGUGGGAAGGAGAAGGAAGAGAGAUGGGCUUCAAGAAUGGGAGACGGUAAGGAAGAAAAGGGUUCAACUAACUCAACAAGGUCAAGGGCAAAUAAAUGUCUCUUUUUAUUUUUUAACUUUUCGUUUAUUCAAUUUUAUACGUGCUAUUUAAGAUAUCAAAAAUUAACAUCUACUCUACUUGAUUUUUUUUAACUUGGGAGAGAGAACAAUGAGUUUGAAGCCUAAAGUGUAUCGCUUGUUCCUUUAAGAAUAUUUGCUUGAUUUAAGUAAAUAGAAUGUAUGAAAUAACUUAAUGGGGAUGCAUCUCAAUUGAUAAAUAAAUUAAUGGCUAAAUUGCCUGUAAAUUUAAAAUAUUUUAUUAAAUUUGAAAUUAAAAUUUAUUUUAUUUUUUNUUCGCCAUCGCUAGCGUCAGAGAUGACACCUUCCCACCAACCAUCACUCCACCACGUGUCAGCUGGAUCUCCAACUCCGAAGGUUGGGCUCGGCUCGUUGCUAGGAUAGGCAGGUCUGACAGUUGGGCGGCCAGCAUGCCGCAUCCCCAGCUUAUCAGCCUUAGCCACUCUAUUUGUAGGAAUCCAUUCCUACAGUUAUCACAAUGUAAAACACACACUCAAAACAUAAUACAAGAAU
RNAcentral lists this long non-coding RNA (4094 nucleotides) under Salvia miltiorrhiza (redroot sage). Its description in RNAcentral is "long non-coding RNA (SMIL_LNC012340)". The record is from RNAcentral. Lineage: Eukaryota; Viridiplantae; Streptophyta; Magnoliopsida; Lamiales; Lamiaceae.